This 302-nucleotide unclassified non-coding RNA is filed under the name uncultured Ascomycota. RNAcentral describes it as "sequence contains ITS1". The stretch from base 1 to 105 matches the Rfam family "5.8S ribosomal RNA", at positions 50 to 154 of the family's 154-position model. The record is from RNAcentral. Lineage: Eukaryota; Fungi; Ascomycota.
GAAAUGCGAUAAGUAGUGUGAAUUGCAGAAUUCAGUGAAUCAUCGAAUCUUUGAACGCACAUUGCGCCCUUUGGUCUUCCAUGGGGCAUGCCUGUUCGAGCGUCAUUCAACCCUUCAAGCUCCGCUUGGUGUUGGGCGCUUGUCCCGCCCCCGUGCGUGGACUCGCCUUAAAACUAUCGGCGUCGACGUGCCGGCCUUGAGCGCAGCAGAAUAGUCGCUCCGGGGCCGGGCGUGGCGGCUUGCCGUAAAACGACCAUCUAAUUCUUGACCUCGGAUCAGGUAGGGAUACCCGCUGAACUUAA